UACGUAGGGGGCGAGCGUUGUCCGGAAUUACUGGGCGUAAAGGGUGCGUAGGCGGGUCUUUAAGUCAGGGGUGAAAUCCUGGAGCUCAACUCCAGAACUGCCUUUGAUACUGAGGAUCUUGAGUUCGGGAGAGGUGAGUGGAACUGCGAGUGUAGAGGUGAAAUUCGUAGAUAUUCGCAAGAACACCAGUGGCGAAGGCGGCUCACUGGCCCGAUACUGACGCUGAGGCACGAAAGCGUGGGGAGCAAACAGG
This 253-nucleotide ribosomal RNA is filed under the name uncultured bacterium. Its description in RNAcentral is "partial 16S ribosomal RNA". It matches the Rfam family "Bacterial small subunit ribosomal RNA", at positions 524 to 776 of the family's 1533-position model. The record is from RNAcentral.